GACGAACGCUGGCGGCGUGCUUAACACAUGCAAGUCGAACGGUGAAGCGCCUUCCUUUUUGGUGGGUGUGGAUGAGUGGCGAACGGGUGAGUAACACGUGAGUAACCUGCCCCCUUCUUCUGGAUAACCGCAUGAAAGUGUGGCUAAUACGGGAUAUUCUGGGUCUGUCGCAUGAUGGGUCUGGGAAAGAUAUUGUUUCGGUGGGGGAUGGGCUCGCGGCCUAUCAGCUUGUUGGUGGGGUGAUGGCCUACCAAGGCGGUGACGGGUAGCCGGCCUGAGAGGGUGGACGGUCACACUGGGACUGCGACACGGCCCAGACUCCUACGGGAGGCAGCAGUGGGGAAUAUUGCACAAUGGGAGCAAGCCUGAUGCAGCGACGCCGCGUGAGGGAUGGAGGCCUUCGGGUUGUGAACCUCUUUCGCCAGUGAAGCAGGCCUGCCUCGUUUGUGGGUGGGUUGACGGUAGCUGGAUAAGAGGCGCCGGCUAACUACGUG
Molecule: ribosomal RNA, 494 nt
Filed under: uncultured bacterium
Lineage: Bacteria
Description: partial 16S ribosomal RNA
Rfam family: Bacterial small subunit ribosomal RNA
Source: RNAcentral